AUGCGGCAGUGGAAGGGCGCCUGGCUGCCCCACCGGAGGGUGCCGGGGGUGCUCUCCUUCCAGCGGCGCUUCACGCCGCGCCCAGACGACGUGCUCCUAGCGAGCCCGCCCAAGUGCGGCACCACGUGGCUCAAGGCCCUGUCUUUCGCCACGAUGGCGCGGGCCGCCUACCCACCCGGAGACGGCGACCACCCGCUCCUCCGCCUCAACCCGCACGACUGCGUCCCCCUGGUCGACAGCCUGUUCAGCGCCGGGCAGGAGGCCAAGCUGGAUGCGCUGCCGUCGCCCAGGCUGAUGAACACGCACGUGCACCACUCCCUGCUGCCUCCCUCCGUCGCCCACGACCCCGGCUGCAAGAUCGUGUACGUCUGUAGGGAGCCCAAGGAUAUGGUGGUUUCCCUAUGGCACUUCUACAAAAGCUCCAAGACCACGGAAGGCAGCACGUACACGUUGUCCGACUUGUUCGAGAAUGCAUGCCAGGGCAAGCACUCCAACGGCCCCAUCUGGGACCACAUCCUCGGCUACUGGCAGGAGAGCCAAGCCACGCCCCGGAGGGUCCUCUUCCUACGGUACGAGGAGAUGCUGCGUGACCCGGUCGACAGCAUCAGGGAGGUUGCGCGGUUUCUCGAGGUGCUGUUCACGGUGACCGAGGAGGCGGCGGGCCUACCGGAGGACAUCAUGAAGUUGUGCAGCAUCGAGACGCUAAGGGGCGCGCGUGCCGAUAAGAUGGGCGCGAACAAGGUCUUUGUCAAGUUCCCGCACACAUCUUUCUUCAGGAAGGGGGUGGCAGGAGACUGGGUGAACCAUAUGACGCCGGAGAUGGCACAACGCUUCGAUGCCAUUGUGGAGGAAAAGCUUCAUGGGCCAGGCUUGUCUUUUAAGUCUUAG
Molecule: ribosomal RNA, 888 nt
Filed under: Triticum aestivum (bread wheat)
Lineage: Eukaryota; Viridiplantae; Streptophyta; Magnoliopsida; Poales; Poaceae
Description: partial small subunit ribosomal RNA
Source: RNAcentral